CUUGGACUGGCCGAGGAUGGUGGCGGCGUUGAUGGUGUCGCGCCACGGCCCGGCGAUCAGGUCGGCGGCCCGGAGC
This 76-nucleotide transfer RNA is filed under the name Actinoalloteichus hoggarensis. Its description in RNAcentral is "tRNA-Ile". Lineage: Bacteria; Bacillati; Actinomycetota; Actinomycetes; Pseudonocardiales; Pseudonocardiaceae. The record is from RNAcentral.